This is a long non-coding RNA of Spinacia oleracea (spinach), 168 nucleotides long. RefSeq lists it as uncharacterized. The record is from RefSeq and is a predicted model, not a curated record. The transcript is spliced from 3 exons. NCBI's taxonomy places the organism in Eukaryota, Viridiplantae, Streptophyta, Magnoliopsida, Caryophyllales, Amaranthaceae.
GAUCCAUUACGAUCCUUGUUGGUCAAGUCACUAUUGAAUAAAGUGUUGAUGAAAAUGAAUGUCAAAAAAAGCGCACUUCCUCAAUGGAAAUCAGUUAAGUGCGCCCAACAAGAGGGUGGGGUCGAGUGUGGCUAUUACGUGAUGAAAUUCAUGCAUGACAUAUUCAAA